Molecule: transfer RNA, 86 nt
Filed under: Chthonomonas calidirosea T49
Lineage: Bacteria; Bacillati; Armatimonadota; Chthonomonadia; Chthonomonadales; Chthonomonadaceae
Also listed under: 2 other names
Description: tRNA-Ser (CGA) (tRNA-Ser-CGA-1-1)
Rfam family: tRNA
About the family: Transfer RNA (tRNA) molecules are approximately 80 nucleotides in length. Their secondary structure includes four short double-helical elements and three loops (D, anti-codon, and T loops). Further hydrogen bonds mediate the characteristic L-shaped molecular structure. tRNAs have two regions of fundamental functional importance: the anti-codon, which is responsible for specific mRNA codon recognition, and the 3' end, to which the tRNAs corresponding amino acid is attached (by aminoacyl-tRNA synthetases). tRNAs cope with the degeneracy of the genetic code in two manners: having more than one tRNA (with a specific anti-codon) for a particular amino acid; and 'wobble' base-pairing, i.e. permitting non-standard base-pairing at the 3rd anti-codon position.
Source: Rfam by way of RNAcentral
GGAGAGAUGUCCGAGUGGUUUAAGGUGCGGCUCUCGAAAAGCCGUGGGCCUAAACAGCCCCGUGGGUUCGAAUCCCACUCUCUCCG